Ricinus communis (castor bean) is the source of this 107-nucleotide small nucleolar RNA. Lineage: Eukaryota; Viridiplantae; Streptophyta; Magnoliopsida; Malpighiales; Euphorbiaceae. The record is from RefSeq and is a predicted model, not a curated record.
AAAUCAUAAUGUGGACAACUAUUGAGCAAAUUCUUGAAUCGUUUCCAACAAUCAUACAAAGUUUCAUUCUCUUAUUGAAGAAACUCUAUUAUAUCAUUCCUCAACUU